GACAGAGGAUGCAAGCGUUAUCCGGAAUUACUGGGCGUAAAGCGCACGUAGGCGGUCUUUUAAGUCGGGGGUGAAAUUCCUGGAGCUCAACUCCAGAACUGCCUUCGAUACUGGAAGACUCGAGUCCGGGAGAGGUGAGUGGAACUGCGAGUGUAGAGGUGAAAUUCGUAGAUAUUCGCAAGAACACCAGUGGCGAAGGCGGCUCACUGGCCCGAUACUGACGCUGAGGCACGAAAGCGUGGGGAG
RNAcentral lists this ribosomal RNA (246 nucleotides) under uncultured bacterium. RNAcentral describes it as "partial 16S ribosomal RNA". It matches the Rfam family "Bacterial small subunit ribosomal RNA", at positions 524 to 768 of the family's 1533-position model. The record is from RNAcentral.